Molecule: long non-coding RNA, 735 nt
Filed under: Homo sapiens (human)
Lineage: Eukaryota; Metazoa; Chordata; Mammalia; Primates; Hominidae
Description: HSALNT0350386
Source: RNAcentral
GCCGGCGCCUCACCUUGGUUCACCAGGCGCAGGGCGUGCGUGAAGGAGGGGUCCAGGGAGUCCUUCUCCGCCAUCAGCUCGGGCAGGUAGCAAUCUGGAACACUCCUGACUGGCUCUUCAUCCCUCCCUGAUCUGAGUUGGCAGUCAGUCCACCAGCAGCUGUGGAGGAGGGCUAUGCACUGGGAAACUGACAGCAAGGGCACUGAAUCUUCUGCUCCAGACCCUCCUUCUCCGAGAACCUUCCAAGAAGGCAGGUGCCAAACGCUCAUAAUUUAACUUUGAAAAGGAGGUUUGUGUUAACAGGAAGAAACACAGAACAAAACAAUUGAUUGAAGACCUAUGAGGAUAAAAUUUCAAGGAAAGAAAAAUAUGGCCAAAUAACCCACGCUUGUUUUAAUGUCUAUAUAAUCAACAUCUAGUAGAUGAUAUUUCUGAAAUAGUAUAAAAUUAUAUUUCAUUAGGUAGUCAUGUCAAUUGAACAGAGUCUUGUCACAGAAUGAGUUCUCUGCAAUCUACAAUUAAUUAAGCAAAGAAACAAACUGCUUGAAGAUCUGUUGAAGGGUAUCAACACCAUUAUUUUUCCAAUACAAAGUGCUUUCCCAUCCUGCAUCUCAUCCCUCUUUUUCCCCCUCUAUGGUACAUGGCUGCGAAGAAAUUUUUAAAAUAGGCAGAGUCCUCAUAAUACAAUUUUAGUUAUCUCUGGAAUGUGUCUCAAAUCCCUGAAUACGGUCUUCU